This 253-nucleotide ribosomal RNA is filed under the name uncultured bacterium. Its description in RNAcentral is "partial 16S ribosomal RNA". It matches the Rfam family "Bacterial small subunit ribosomal RNA", at positions 524 to 776 of the family's 1533-position model. The record is from RNAcentral.
UACGUAGGGGGCAAGCGUUGUCCGGAAUUAUUGGGCGUAAAGAGCGCGCAGGCGGCUGGUCAAGUCCGAUGUGAAAUCUCCCGGCUCAACUGGGAAACUGCAUCGGAAACUGAUCGGCUUGAAGAUGGGAGAGGGUAGUGGAAUUCCCGGUGUAGUGGUGAAAUGCGUAGAUAUCGGGAGGAACACCAGUGGCGAAGGCGACUACCUGGCCCAUUCUUGACGCUGAGGCGCGAAAGCUAGGGGAGCGAACGGG